This 253-nucleotide ribosomal RNA is filed under the name uncultured bacterium. RNAcentral's name for it is "partial 16S ribosomal RNA". It matches the Rfam family "Bacterial small subunit ribosomal RNA", at positions 524 to 776 of the family's 1533-position model. The record is from RNAcentral.
UACAGAGGUCCCGAGCGUUGUUCGGAUUUAUUGGGCGUAAAGGGUGCGUAGGCGGCGCGGUAAGUCGGGUGUGAAAUCUCGGGGCUUAACUCCGAAACUGCAUUCGAUACUGCCGUGCUUGAGGACUGGAGAGGAGACUGGAAUUUACGGUGUAGCGGUGAAAUGCGUAGAUAUCAAGAGGAACACCUGAGGUGAAGACGGGUUGCUGGGCCGACACUGACGCUGAAGCGCGAAAGCCAGGGGAGCAAACGGG